UAGUUCCUGGUCUUUAAUUUGCCAGAGAUCU
Molecule: non-coding RNA, 31 nt
Filed under: Rattus norvegicus (Norway rat)
Lineage: Eukaryota; Metazoa; Chordata; Mammalia; Rodentia; Muridae
Source: RNAcentral